Rana temporaria (common frog) is the source of this 1748-nucleotide non-coding RNA. The record is from the annotation of a RefSeq genome assembly. NCBI's taxonomy places the organism in Eukaryota, Metazoa, Chordata, Amphibia, Anura, Ranidae.
GAAGAUCUUACAUGCAGAAGAUACACAACAAUGUACCCUCUAUGGAGUCUGGCUUUACUGAAAGUUUUCUGGAUUUCCUCUGUACAUUGCCAGAAUUCUGUAGAUUACCAAAACAGCACCAUCACCAUCACACAAGGAGAAAAUGUGACUCUAUAUUGUGGAUAUAAAGCAUCUAGUUUUUAUGGGUUAAGCUGGUACAGGCUGAACCCUGGAGGUGGUCCAGUUCUCAUCAUAAAUGCUCCUUCAGAACAGCAAAAACCAGAAGGAAGAUUCACCGUUUUCUUCCCAAACAAGGGAAGCUGUUUACUGCACAUCCAACACUCCAUUGUAUCUGACUCUGCGUUGUAUCUCUGCUCGGUGGAGGCACAGUGUAUGAACCGACAGGAAGACCUGUGCAAGAACUUCAUCUACAUGCAAUAACCUCAUGAACAAUGGCUGUGUCCUACAGUAAAAGAGUUCACAUUUGUAGACUGUUUGCUAUAGCAACACCUAAAUAUUAUAAAGAAAUUAACUUUCUAUAUGGAUAUAUUAGGAAUAUGGAAAGCCUUAGUCUGGGUUCACACUGCUGCUGUGCGAGACACUGCAUGUAAUAUGCACAGGAAUCACAGCAUAUUCCUGUGCAAAUGAUAUGAGGUUUCUCUGGGGUGCGAUUUGAGCCAUGGAUUUGUAUGGUUCAAAUCACACUGCAUUUGCACCAAACUGGUGUAGGACCCUUUUUUGUCAGCACCAGAAUUGGAUCGCAUGGGUGUUUACCAGUGUCGGCUGGUGAAGUGCAUCAGACUCCGAUCUUCCUUUUGGACCACUCCCACUUCCCAUAAGUCCUACCCCUUAUCAACCCACUCCAUCCUCUGUAUUGCACUUGCUUCCACCUAUAGUGUCGUGAGUAUACAGCCCCAGAAUCACAGGACAGAGUAUACAGCUCAGCCUCACAGAUAGGGUAUAUAACUCAGCCUCGCAAAUACGGUAUAUAGAUCAGCACCACAGGUGGCCCUCUACUUUCACAGCACCCCCCUCCCCACGCGGGUAGAUCGCGGAACUUUUACAGCAACCCUACCCCAGGCACACUCACAGCACCCCCCACCCGGGUGGCUCGCGGCACUUAUCAGGUGUCCUCUCCUCCUCUCCUGUGUCUACUCCAGGCAGCUUUCUGUGCUCUGUCCCACUUCCGUCAAAGCGCUGGGCAUCCAAUAGGUGCUUUGGCCAAUCGGGAAACAGGUCUCAGUGACCUGCCUCCUGAUUGGCGGGGAGGCACAGUGGUGUGAAAAUAGCGAAUAUUCAUUUACUAUGGUCACACAAUUGGGUGAGAUCAGAGCACACUCUCUGGAGGUCGCUUCUAAUCAGGUGCUUCAAAAAAAUACACACCCUCAUGCCCCCUGCCAUAGGAGUCCAUGCAUCCCGAAACAGGCUGGGCACACGGAUAGGGAGGCAGCAGCAAGCAUAGGGUGGUGGCGCCCGUGCGCCCACAAUGCACAGACCGCCACUGGUGUUUACACUCAUCCCAUGCGAUCCAAUUAUGCAAAUUGUGCUGCAUUUUGCAAACCGUUUGUGGGGUGUUGUUAACUUAACACAAUCAGUUUGCAUGGAUGGGUUGUGAUUUAGGUUUGGUGCCGAACCUGCAGCAAAUUCUAGUGUGAAACCACGCUUAAAGUAGAUCUAUACCCAAUCUUUAAAAUCCCAUAACAGCUUUAUCGUGCAGUUUAUAAAGUAAUUCUCAGUCUAUUUAAAUUGCAGCUUUUAUUAAAAUAAUA